CCAGCCGUAAACGAUGGACACUAGGUGUGGGGGGAUGAACCUUCCGUGCCGCAGCUAACGCAAUAAGUGUCCCGCCUGGGGAGUACGGUCGCAAGACUAAAACUCAAAGGAAUUGACGGGGGCCCGCACAAGCAGCGGAGCAUGUGGCUUAAUUCGAAGCAACGCGAAGAACCUUACCAGGGCUUGACAUGGUAGUGAAGCGGUGGAAACACCGUGGCCGAAAGGAGCUACCACAGGUGG
Molecule: ribosomal RNA, 240 nt
Filed under: uncultured Atopobium sp.
Lineage: Bacteria; Bacillati; Actinomycetota; Coriobacteriia; Coriobacteriales; Atopobiaceae
Description: partial 16S ribosomal RNA
Rfam family: Bacterial small subunit ribosomal RNA
Source: RNAcentral